This 459-nucleotide ribosomal RNA is filed under the name uncultured bacterium. Its description in RNAcentral is "partial 16S ribosomal RNA". It matches the Rfam family "Bacterial small subunit ribosomal RNA", at positions 338 to 795 of the family's 1533-position model. The record is from RNAcentral.
CCUACGGGUGGCAGCAGUGAGGAAUAUUGGUCAAUGGCCGGAAGGCUGAACCAGCCAAGCCGCGUGAAGGACGAAGGUGCCAAGCAUUGUAAACUUCUUUUGUCAAGGGACAAAAUCAGGCUCGAGAGCCUGACCGAGGGUACUUGAAGAAAAAGCAUCGGCUAACUCCGUGCCAGCAGCCGCGGUAAUACGGAGGAUGCGAGCGUUAUCCGGAUUUAUGGGGUUUAAAGGGUGCGUAGGCGGACUGUUAAGUCAGCGGUAAAAGCCCGGGGCUCAACCCCGGCGAGCCGUUGAAACUGGUUGUCUUGAGAUGUCGAGAGGUAGGCGGAAGGCGCAGUGAAGCGGUGAAAUGCUUAGAUAUUGCGCAGAACUCCGAUUGCAAAGGCAGCAUACCGGCGGCGAUCUGACGCUGAGGCACGAAAGCGUGGGUAUCGAACAGGAUUAGAUACCCCUGUAGUC